CGCGAAUAGCUCAUUACAACAGCCUUAGUUUAUUGGAUCUUAGAGUCCUACUUGGAUAACUGUGGUAAUUCUAGAGCUAAUACACGCAAUUAAUCCUCAACCUUACGGGCGAGGAGCAUUUAUUAGAACAAAACCAAUCGGCUUCGGCCGUAUCUGGUGAAUCUGAAUAACUACGCUGAUCGCAUGGUCUCGUACCGGCGACAUAUCCUUCAAGUGUCUGCCUUAUCAACUGUCGAUGGUAGUUUACACGCCUACCAUGGUUGUAACGGGUAACGGAGAAUAAGGGUUCGACUCCGGAGAGGGAGCCUGAGAAACGGCUACCACAUCCAAGGAAGGCAGCAGGCGCGCAAAUUACCCACUCUCAGAACGAGGAGGUAGUGACGAAAAAUAACGAGACAGUUCUCUAUGAGGUCUGUCAUCGGAAUGGGUACAAUUUAAACCCUUUAACGAGGAUCUAUUGGAGGGCAAGUCUGGUGCCAGCAGCCGCGCUAAUUCCAGCUCCAAUAGCGUAUAUUAAAGUUGUUGCGGUUAAAAAGCUCGUAGUUGGAUCUGCGGUCGUAGACUCUGGUUCCCUCCUAGGGAUACUAGCUGUCUCGACCUACCUUGUUAGAUUUCCCUUGGUGCUCUUUACUGAGUGCCUUGGGUGUCUAGCUCGUUUACUUUGAAAAAAUUAGAGUGCUUAAAGCAGGCAUUUGCCUGAAUAGUGGUGCAUGGAAUAAUGGAAUAGGACCUCGGUUCUAUUUUGUUGGUUUUCGGAGCAUGAGGUAAUGAUUAAGAGGGACAGACGGGGGCAUUCGUACUGCUACGUUAGAGGUGAAAUUCUUGGAUCGUAGCAUGACGAACAACUGCGAAAGCAUUUGCCAAGAAUGUUUUCAUUAAUCAAGAACGAUAGUUAGAGGUUCGAAGGCGAUCAGAUACCGCCC
This 923-nucleotide ribosomal RNA is filed under the name Nematoda environmental sample. RNAcentral describes it as "SSU rRNA". It matches the Rfam family "Eukaryotic small subunit ribosomal RNA", at positions 88 to 1020 of the family's 1831-position model. Lineage: Eukaryota; Metazoa; Nematoda. The record is from RNAcentral.